RNAcentral lists this ribosomal RNA (253 nucleotides) under uncultured bacterium. RNAcentral's name for it is "partial 16S ribosomal RNA". It matches the Rfam family "Bacterial small subunit ribosomal RNA", at positions 524 to 776 of the family's 1533-position model. The record is from RNAcentral.
UACGGAGGAUCCAAGCGUUAUCCGGAUUUAUUGGGUUUAAAGGGUGCGUAGGCGGCCUAUUAAGUCAGGGGUGAAAGACGGUGGCUCAACCAUCGCAGUGCCUUUGAUACUGAUAGGCUUGACUACACUAGAGGUAGGCGGAAUGUGACAAGUAGCGGUGAAAUGCAUAGAUAUGUCACAGAACACCAAUUGCGAAGGCAGCUUACUAUGGUGUCAAUGACGCUGAGGCACGAAAGCGUGGGGAUCAAACAGG